CAGUAGCCGCGGUAAUACGGAGGGAGCUAGCGUUGUUCGGAAUUACUGGGCGUAAAGCGCGCGUAGGCGGUUACUCAAGUCAGAGGUGAAAGCCCGGGGCUCAACCCCGGAACUGCCUUUGAAACUAGGUAACUAGAAUCUUGGAGAGGUCAGUGGAAUUCCGAGUGUAGAGGUGAAAUUCGUAGAUAUUCGGAAGAACACCAGUGGCGAAGGCGACUGACUGGACAAGUAUUGACGCUGAGGUGCGAAAGCGUGGGGAGCAAACAGGAUUAGAUACCCCGGUAGUCCCUGUCUCUUAUAC
Molecule: ribosomal RNA, 301 nt
Filed under: uncultured bacterium
Lineage: Bacteria
Description: partial 16S ribosomal RNA
Rfam family: Bacterial small subunit ribosomal RNA
Source: RNAcentral